CUCUGUAUGAGUUUAAUUUUGGCUCUGAUUGAACGUUUUUCAGUAGUUUUAAGACAUGCGAAUCUUUGUUUUGGUAUCUAACAAGCAGGGAAGGUGACUAAUAUUGAGUUACUAAUAUAAGAAACCUUUUUGGGCCGAAGGGCAAGAUAAAUAAUCUUAGCGAAUUAGAGAAUAGAACAAGGUGUAAAGGUGAGUAAUGAUAAAUUAGAUACUUUAUAGACCUCUCGAAUAGGGGAUAGUUUAAUAAGUUUUUCCGCCGAAUGGUAGGUUAACUAUAAGUUAAGCAUAAAUUAGCUUAUUUAUAAGAAAGGAAAGCUUAAAAUUAUAAUUUUGUUAUUUAACAAUACGAGUAUAAAUUAGAGCAAGCCGCUAUAAGAAUCGAUUUAUUUUGUUUAAUGGUAGUUGGUGGGGUAAAUGCCUACCAAGCCUACGAUCAAUAGCCAAGUUUGAUAGAACAGAUGGCCACAUUGGGAAUGAAAAGCCCCAAGUAGAGUAAUCUACCAGCAGUCAAGAAUAUUAGUCAAUGCUCGCAAGAGUGAACUAGCUAACUGAAAUCUUAAGAUCAUUUAACCAUGGUACUUGAGAUAACGUAAGGGAAAAAAAUGAUAGUACCUUACUAUAAGUGUUGUCCAACAUUACUGGUGCCAGAAGACUCGGUAACGCCAGAAACGCAAACGUUAGUCGUCCUAAUCAGGCGUAAAGGGUAAGUAGGCUGCUUUGAAAGUUAUUAAUUAGAAAGCUCCAGUAGGCGGGUCUUGGCUUCGCCAAGCCAAUCCUCAAUCAAUUGAAUGAGGGGAGGGGAAUCUGCAACUGGUAAUUAAUAAUGAAUUAAAGCUAGAAUCAAACAGAGGAUAAGCCAAAUAAUGUUUAGAGUAGGGAUGAAAUCCGUAGAUACUAAAUGGAAUACUAAUGGUGAAAACUUUUAUCUAAUAAUGAUUGACGCUGAGGAACGAAGGUGAGAAUAGAAAAUAGGAUUAGAGACCCAGAUAUCUCUCACUGUCAACGAUGAAUGGUGGUUGUUAGUUUUAAAAUAAACUAGUAACGAUGUUAACGCGAUAACCAUUCCGCCUUGCGAGUACGGUUGCAAAACUGAAACCAAAAAAAUUAGUCGGUCUCGGAGCAAACGAAGUGAAGCAUGUUAUUUAAUACGAAACUACGCGUAAAAUCUUACCAGUUCUUGCAUAUACUCUUGCCUGCUUUUUUUGCUCAGCAACAAAGGGUAGGCAACUCUAUAGUAAAAAAAUAGAAGGGAGUUUACAGGUGUUGCAUGGCUGUCGUCAGUCCGUAUUUUAAGAAGUGAGGUUAACUCCACUAACGGACGCAAUCCCUGUUGUUAAUUUAUACUUAACAAUUUAUGAAUUUUAAAUAUUUUCAUUUGGGGCUAAGACAAGUCGUUAUGGCUCUAACGAACUGGGCUAUAGACGUGCCACAUAUAACUUUUACAAAGUGAAGCGAAACCUUAACUAAAUUAAUAAAAAAAGGAAGAGCUAAUCAUUAAAGAAAGUUAAUUAUAUUUAAUUUGAGCAGAUUGUUGCCUGAAAUUCGGCAACAUGAAGAAGGAAUUUCGAGUAAUCGUUGAUCACUAGCGCAACGGUGAAGAUAGCAUUCGGGAUGAACUAACUGUCUGUCGCUGGGGAGAAGCUCGGAUCGGGGGAAACUGCCGCUUAAUUAUAACUUACAACAAAUCUUAGUUCUUUAAUUAUAACUGCAGCCUUGGUUAUGAAAAAAACCUUUGGCUACUAUAAAAAGUUUAUAAUUAUUGGCUUUAGCGCUAAAUAUUUUGUUUUGUUUAGUACAAAUUUGUUAAGCUAAUUAGUUUCAGUUAACCCUUCUGAGUAACAUCUCAAAAGUCAUAGCAAGGUAGCCGUACUGGAAGGUGCUGCUGUAAAAUAUUUCAA
This 1898-nucleotide ribosomal RNA is filed under the name Macrolepiota fuliginosa. RNAcentral describes it as "small subunit ribosomal RNA". It matches the Rfam family "Bacterial small subunit ribosomal RNA". Lineage: Eukaryota; Fungi; Basidiomycota; Agaricomycetes; Agaricales; Agaricaceae. The record is from RNAcentral.